This 206-nucleotide ribosomal RNA is filed under the name uncultured bacterium. Its description in RNAcentral is "partial 16S ribosomal RNA". It matches the Rfam family "Bacterial small subunit ribosomal RNA", at positions 1287 to 1500 of the family's 1533-position model. The record is from RNAcentral.
CUCAGUUCGGAUCGGAGUCUGCAACCCGACUCCGUGAAGCUGGAUUCGCUAGUAAUCGCGCAUCAGCCAUGGCGCGGUGAAUACGUUCCCGGGCCUUGUACACACCGCCCGUCAAGCCAUGGGAGCCGGGAGUGCCUGAAGGCCGUGACCGCAAGGAGCGGCCUAAGGUAAAACUGGUGACUGGGGCUAAGUCGUAACAAGGUACC